UGAUUUGCCUAAACUGCCACAGUUUGUC
This 28-nucleotide non-coding RNA is filed under the name Homo sapiens (human). Lineage: Eukaryota; Metazoa; Chordata; Mammalia; Primates; Hominidae. The record is from RNAcentral.